Long non-coding RNA from Gallus gallus (chicken), 1990 nucleotides. The record is from Ensembl. Lineage: Eukaryota; Metazoa; Chordata; Aves; Galliformes; Phasianidae.
AUUCAUUUUAACUAGCCAGAGGAGUUCUGAGGAAAAAAACUGUACCUCUGUUGGCACAGUGGGUAGAAAGCUGUUGACUGCCUAACUAUUUGUUCUCAGACAGAAUGUCUGGUGGCUGUUCAUGCAUUGUUCAGGAAGAGAAUUCCUUCUGAGGCUUUCCAGUUCCUUUCCAGCCAGCAUUCUUCACUUGAAAGGAGAGCCGUAAAGGGGGUCCGAAUUUCACAGAAGCUACCAGAGACUUCAUCCAGGAGGAUGCACAGGAAAUGAGUGCAUAGGCUGUGUCUCCGGCAUUACAACAGAACCCGGCUGGACAUGAGCAGAUGACAGAGAGAAGUCUUAAUGAGCCUUUCUUAUGGCUGUGAGAGCAUCCACCAUUAGAUUCAGUACCACCAAAAAAAAACCACAAAUGAAGGUGAUGAUGAUCCUCACUGAUGCUGCUCCUGAAGUCAGAGCAUCCUCCACUUGGGCUGCAAGAUGGAUGGGUCUGCUUCCUUCUAAGACUGAGGCAAUUUGAAUCCUCAUCCCUUAAUAAUUAAGAUGCCAGGCUGGAUGGGGCAAUCUGAUCUAGUGUGUGAUGGAGCAGCUGGUAACCCUGCCUGUGGCAGGGAAGUUGGAGCUAGAUGAUCUUUGAGGUUCCUUCCAAUGCAGAUCUACGAUUCUAUCAUGGUAGAAAGCUUCGUCACCAUUAGAGGAAGGUAUUUGGUGAAGGUGGGAUAUCAGAGCCAGUAAGGCCAAUCAACAAGGUCAGAGGAUUUACUUCUUUAAUAUUCCUCAUAAAUGUCAUUCUCCCACCUUCUGUUUGACCCCUUUCACACUCUCUUACCCCAAGGAAAGCAGACAAAGCUUCAGGGCAAGAUGAGAAAGUUCUUGGCUGGAAGAACCUGUUAAUGCAUAUUCCAACAGAAUGGAAAAUGUGGGCUGAAAUUUCAUCAGGUUUACAACAUCCUCAGUGCUUAUCCUAAACAGUAGGCUAUGGUAGAGACAGACUAUGAGCAUGUUUUGAAAGAAAGAACAAUGUCUUUGUUCCAUCAGUUUUGAAAGAAUUCAAACAGAUAACUCUUACAAGACAUUUAAGAACUUUUAAUUCUCAAGAGAAACUGCUGGGGGGGGAAAAAAAAAGGAAAAAAAAAACCCUAGAUCUGAAGUGGGAUAUAGGCUAAACUCACCCUAUUCUUAAGUGCCUGUGCUGAGGCUCUUGAUUCCCCUGAGUGAGGAGUGGUAAUGCCCACCUGUAUGCCUGGAUUGAUCCACUGUACCAGUGCCAAGCUGGAGCGACAAGCAGUGUUCAGAGCUCUCAGGCUUUCUUCUCACAAUGACACAACUCAGCAGCUGGGUAUCAUUUUACAAGCUCAGUGCACUGAUCAGAUUCACAAAUGCAGACGGAGGUAUACUUCUAUGAAUAGCCCCUUAACUUCAGUGCAGCUCUUGCUGGACUGGCACUCUAAUGCAACACUAUCUUCUGCUAUUCCUAUUUGUCAAAUGGCAAAAUGAAAGUAUUAAUAGCUGUUGUACCAGGAGUCAGUAACAAAGACCUAUGCUAGACAUCAAGAUUUCUCCUGACCUCCCAGUUUUCUAAUCCCUCUGUAUCAUUGAAUGGGCAAAUAAAGUGUAAAAAUAAAUGUUUGUGACUAUUUGGUAGCUGAUAUUUUGACUAAGAAAAUUAGAUCUGCUUGCUUACUGGUACCUGUUCAAUGAGGUGUCUGCUCAACAAACAUGAAAUGGACUGUUCAUCUGUUGCAAAUCCAUAUUAGUUAUCAGACACGAUGGGCUACUAAGAAAAAUUAAUCAUCUAUAAACUUGAUCGUCUACUCCUUGAAACAGCUGCUAUUUCUCCCAGAGAUUUGAUUACAGUAACCUUUUGCUGCAAUUUCCUCUUUAAUUUAUCCUACUGUAUUUGAUUAAAACAAUGUAUUGCCCUGACCUCUGGAAUCUUUCAUUUUUGUUGUUUUCAAUGCAACAGAGGUGUCAGAAUUAAACAAUUUCAUAGUUU